UAAUAAUGUACUGAUAUAUUUAUAUGUUAAAUUGACAAAAAUAUUUAUUACAUUAUGUCUGCUAAGUUUUAUCCUCUAGAACAAGUAAUCUUGGAAAAAUUAAGGUUUUUACAUCUGUGGCUAAACAACAACUGUUAUUUUAAAGUAUUGUCUUACAUUACAAAGUCUAGAUUUUCCUUUAAAAGCUAACCUUGGUUAAUAUAAAAAAUCAAUGAAAGUGUGGUACAUUACUCUUCUUUAUGGAUUAAAUGUGUUCAUAUCUUUCAGGUAAACAAGUCUUUAAGGUAAAAGGUUUAAAGGAACAUUUUAUCAAGCUGGUAUUCUCCAAACUAAAAUUGUCUGUAAUGAUAAUUUAAACUUACAAAGAUAAUAGAUUUUAUUGGAAAUUUAUUUAUAUUAUUUAAUGUUUUGUAACCAAAUCUUACGUUACCUUUUACACUAAAUUUAAAAAGUAAUGAGAGCCUAAUCUACUUAAAGGUUAAAUAUUAUAAAACAUUUUGCCACUUUUCCACAUAAAAAAUGUUAAGGGCUCUCAGCCUUUCCUUAAUUAAUGUUUCAGAUGUAUGUCAUAUUGUGCUACUAACAUUCAUACAGAGUCAAAAACAAUAUAUGUAAACUUUAUAAAAUGAUAUCUAAAAAGAGAGACAAAGAUCAGCUUUAAAACUAAAACACUUUAGCUAAGAUUGUUAAGAUAAGGCUGAGAUAAGGCUCUGCUUCCCACCUUACAACAUGUCAGAAUAACUUCAAAGUAGGCCAGAUUUCAGUUAAUUUAAAGUUAUAUUCAAAGAUUAAUUUAUUAAAAAGAUUACUAUGAUAUCAUAUAAAAAAUAUAAUGUAUAACUCAGCCAAGGUUCAAAAUUAUAUACAAGCCAAAUAUGUUUUUAUUAUUGUUGAUUUCACUUUAUAUUUUCAUUAUAUCUAAAAAAAAAAUGUGACCACUGCACUCAGAGCAACCAAGAGACCUUUACUGUG
RNAcentral lists this long non-coding RNA (972 nucleotides) under Marmota monax (woodchuck). Lineage: Eukaryota; Metazoa; Chordata; Mammalia; Rodentia; Sciuridae. The record is from RNAcentral.